UCUAAUCCAGUAUUGGAUAUGCGUUCAAACUGUUAUAAGCUAGUGAUUCAUGUUGAAUCUCAAACUGUACCUAUUUCCAUUAUUCGUAAAAGCCAGUUUUGGCAAUUUUGGUUUCUGCAAGGUGGGUGAAUUUUAGUAACAAAAAGGCUCGAAGAUAAGAGCCCAUGAAGACCAAAUAUCCUCUGAUGAACUCCUUAGAAAGAUUAAUUGAUUCGGAUUCCCGCCAAACCGAAUUGACCUUCCAAGAACAUGUCUCUCUUCAUUCCCAUCUAAAAGCAUAUCCAUUUCCCAUCCCAUAGAUCCGUUAUUUGAGAUGAAAAUCAGUCCAGUACAAUGACUAUCAAUCACCAACCUGUGAUGAACCUGGGAAAUUUCUUAACACUUAUCUCUACCAGAAAAAAGUUUUACUGGCUAUUUGCCGAUCUACCAAAUGGAAGUUCCCAUUCGCGAGAUUUCUGAUUUCUCUGAUACUCCUUUUAGUGACAUGGAGUAUGAAGAAGUAGACACCACACAAACCACGCAUUUUUCCAAUAUGUCCAUAAACGACUCCCUCACUUCUGUCUCGCUCGAUUUGGAGGAAACCCUUACGGAUAUUGAAGAUGACUUUUUAUUGGACGAUGUCAGUUCUGAUCUAGAAGAUAACGCGGAUUUUACGGAUGAGGAUGAAGAUUCAAGUUCGAAGCCGGAAGACAAAGAAGAAUCAAGAAACGAAAACAUCGCAGCCAGCAGGUCCCCAACCAAGGGCGUCAAAAAAUGUUCCCCGGGACGCCAAAAAUGAUUGAACUCCCUUCGAACAGGAGGAACAACAUCAAAUGAUACUAAGACAUGGUCUAUAA
RNA transcript from Cimex lectularius (bed bug), 836 nucleotides. RefSeq lists it as uncharacterized. The record is from RefSeq and is a predicted model, not a curated record. The transcript has 4 exons. NCBI's taxonomy places the organism in Eukaryota, Metazoa, Arthropoda, Insecta, Hemiptera, Cimicidae.